AUCCUGUGCAAGCAUACUCUGGUGCAACAUAACCAAAUGUUCCCAUCACCCUUGUUGUCACAUAAAUCCUCUCAGAACAUAAGAGCUUAGCAAGCCCAAAAUCAGAAACCUUAGCAUUCCAUUGGUGAUCAAGUAGUAUGUUGCUGGAUUUUACAUCGCGAUGGACAACUUUUGGUUCAAGACCCUCAUGAAGGUAGGCUAAUCCCUUUGCUGUUCCCAAUAUAAUGUUCA
Molecule: unclassified non-coding RNA, 231 nt
Filed under: Hevea brasiliensis (rubber tree)
Lineage: Eukaryota; Viridiplantae; Streptophyta; Magnoliopsida; Malpighiales; Euphorbiaceae
Source: RNAcentral